UCUAAAAUGGCAGAAUAGUGUAAUGAAUUUAAAAUUCAUAAAUGAAAUUAAUUUCUUUUAGAA
RNAcentral lists this transfer RNA (63 nucleotides) under Malaxella flava. Its description in RNAcentral is "tRNA-Leu". It matches the Rfam family "tRNA". Rfam says of the family: Transfer RNA (tRNA) molecules are approximately 80 nucleotides in length. Their secondary structure includes four short double-helical elements and three loops (D, anti-codon, and T loops). Lineage: Eukaryota; Metazoa; Arthropoda; Insecta; Hemiptera; Delphacidae. The record is from RNAcentral.